UGUCGUCAGCUCGUGUCGUGAGAUGUUGGGUUAAGUCCCGCAACGAGCGCAACCCUUGUCUCAUGUUGCCAGCGGGUAAUGCCGGGGACUCGUGAGAGACUGCCGGGGUCAACUCGGAGGAAGAUGGGGAUGACGUCAAGUCAUCAUGCCCCUUAUGUCCAGGGCUUCACACAUGCUACAAUGGCCGGUACAAAGGGCUGCGAAGCCGCGAGGUGGAGCGAAUCCUUUAAAGCCGGUCUCAGUUCGGAUCGGGGUCUGCAACUCGACCCCGUGAAGUUGGAGUCGCUAGUAAUCGCAGAUCAGCAACGCUGCGGUGAUACGUUCCCGGGCCUUGUACACACCGCCCGUCACGUCAUGAAAGUCGGUAACACCCGAAGCCGGUGGCCUAACCCGUAAGGGAGGGAGCCGU
Molecule: ribosomal RNA, 409 nt
Filed under: uncultured Actinomycetes bacterium
Lineage: Bacteria; Bacillati; Actinomycetota; Actinomycetes
Description: bacterial SSU rRNA
Rfam family: Bacterial small subunit ribosomal RNA
Source: RNAcentral